Salvelinus fontinalis (brook trout) is the source of this 174-nucleotide long non-coding RNA. RefSeq lists it as uncharacterized. The transcript is spliced from 3 exons. The record is from RefSeq and is a predicted model, not a curated record. NCBI's taxonomy places the organism in Eukaryota, Metazoa, Chordata, Actinopteri, Salmoniformes, Salmonidae.
UUAACACUGACACAGAGGUGGAGGAGAGGGGGGGUUAACACUGACACAGAGGUGGGGGAGAGGGGGGGUUAACACUGACACAGAGGUGGAGGAGAGGGGGGGUUAACACUGACACAGAGGUGGAGGAGAGGGGGGGUUAACACUGACACAGAGGUGGGGGAGAGGGGGGGUUAA